UACCCGCUGAAACUUAAGCAUAUCAAUAAGCGGAGGAAAAGAAACCAACAGGGAUUGCCCUAGUAACGGCGAGUGAAGCGGCAACAGCUCAAAUUUGAAAUCUGGCUCUUUCAGAGUCCGAGUUGUAAUUUGCAGAGGGCGCUUUGGCGUCGGCAGCGGUCCAAGUUCUUUGGAACAGGACGUCACAGAGGGUGAGAAUCCCGUACGUGGUCGCUAGCCUUCGCCGUGUAAAGCCCCUUCGACGAGUCGAGUUGUUUGGGAAUGCAGCUCUAAAUGGGAGGUAAAUUUCUUCUAAAGCUAAAUACUGGCCAGAGACCGAUAGCGCACAAGUAGAGUGAUCGAAAGAUGAAAAGCACUUUGGAAAGAGAGUCAAAUAGCACGUGAAAUUGUUGAAAGGGAAGCGCUUGCAGCCAGACUUACCUGUAGUUGCUUAUCUGGACUUUUGUCCAGUGCACUCUUCUACGGGUAGGCCAGCAUCAGUUUGGGCGGUUGGAUAAAGGUCUCUGUCACGUACCUCCCUUCGGGGUGGCCUUAUAGGGGAGACGUCAUGCAACCAGCCUGGACUGAGGUCCGCGCAUCUGCUAGGAUGCUGGCGUAAUGGCUGUAAGCGGCCCGUCUUGAAACACGGACCAAGGAGUCUAACAUCUAUGCGAGUGUUUGGGUGUCAAGCCCAGACGCGUAAUGAAAGUGAACGGAGGUGGGAACCCUUUGGGUGCACCAUCGACCGAUCCUGAUGUCUUCGGAUGGAUUUGAGUAAGAGCAUGGCUGUUGGGACCCGAAAGAUGGUGAACUAUGCUUGAAUAGGGUGAAGCCAGAGGAAACUCUGGUGGAGGCUCGCAGCGGUUCUGACGUGCAAAUCGAUCGUCAAAUUUGGGCAUAGGGGCGAAAGACUAAUCGAACUAUCUAGUAGCUGGUUCCUGCCGAAGUUUUCCCUCAAGAAUUA
This 943-nucleotide ribosomal RNA is filed under the name Pseudoshiraia conidialis. RNAcentral's name for it is "Shiraiaceae sp. CLH-2021a partial large subunit ribosomal RNA". It matches the Rfam family "Eukaryotic large subunit ribosomal RNA", at positions 22 to 980 of the family's 3401-position model. Lineage: Eukaryota; Fungi; Ascomycota; Dothideomycetes; Pleosporales; Shiraiaceae. The record is from RNAcentral.